Molecule: ribosomal RNA, 27 nt
Filed under: Pratylenchus fallax
Lineage: Eukaryota; Metazoa; Nematoda; Chromadorea; Rhabditida; Pratylenchidae
Description: partial 18S ribosomal RNA
Source: RNAcentral
GUAGGUGAACCUGCUGCUGGACCAUUA